This 253-nucleotide ribosomal RNA is filed under the name Holothuria scabra. RNAcentral's name for it is "partial small subunit ribosomal RNA". The record is from RNAcentral. Lineage: Eukaryota; Metazoa; Echinodermata; Holothuroidea; Aspidochirotida; Holothuriidae.
CAGAGCAGUACGGUCAACUAAAACUUAAAGAACUUGGCGGUUUUCUAGAUCUCCUUGGAGGAGCUUGUCAUCGAAUUGAUAACCCACAAGAUACCUCACCAACUCAAGACUUAUCAGCUUGUAUACCAUCGUCGUCAGCUCACAUCAAAAGAGAGUAAGCCAAAUGGAAAAUACCCACAACGUCAGAUCAAGGUGCAGCUAAUGAGCUGGGGAUAGAUGAGCUACUUUAUUCACAAAACAGAGGAAGUAACCA